UACAGAGGGUGCAAACGUUGCUCGGAAUCAUUGGGCGUAAAGCGCACGUAGGCGGCCUAGCAAGUGGGGAGUGAAAGCCCUCGGCUUAACCGAGGAAGUGCUUUCCAAACUACUAGGCUUGAAUACUGGAGAGGGUCGCGGAAUUCCCGGUGUAGAGGUGAAAUUCGUAGAUAUUCGCAAGAACACCAGUGGCGAAGGCGGCUCACUGGCCCGGUACUGACGCUGAGGUGCGAAAGCGUGGGGAGCAAACAGG
Molecule: ribosomal RNA, 253 nt
Filed under: uncultured bacterium
Lineage: Bacteria
Description: partial 16S ribosomal RNA
Rfam family: Bacterial small subunit ribosomal RNA
Source: RNAcentral